Dipodomys ordii (Ord's kangaroo rat) is the source of this 73-nucleotide non-coding RNA. The record is from Rfam. Lineage: Eukaryota; Metazoa; Chordata; Mammalia; Rodentia; Heteromyidae.
GGGAAGGUGGUUCAGUGGUAGAGCGCUUGCCUUGCAUGCAUGAGGCCCUGGGUUCGAUUCCUCAGCAGCACCA